Molecule: ribosomal RNA, 2192 nt
Filed under: Triticum aestivum (bread wheat)
Lineage: Eukaryota; Viridiplantae; Streptophyta; Magnoliopsida; Poales; Poaceae
Description: partial small subunit ribosomal RNA
Source: RNAcentral
GAGCUCACUGCGGUAUACGGGAUAGGGAUUGGGCGAGAGCAGAGGGAGCCUGCGUCGGCCGGCGGCUUAGCUUAGGGCGGGCGCCCGAGUAGACGGAGCGGUACCGGCUACUUGCGCAGCCGACGCCGGCGCAGGGAGAGGGUUGCCGCCGUAACUACCUCCCUCGUCGACCGCGACCGGUUCGACGGCUAGCUACCUGCGCGGCCCGCAGUGAGGAGCCCAGGUCGGGGAGGGAGAGGGACGUAGAGAGGGACAGAGGAGGUGCUCGACGUGCCUUCAUGCAUGUACGUAGGAACACUCCUUCUAACUAGCCCUACCUCUUUAGUCCGCUGCGCCUUGGUGUGGUUCGAGGUUAUGAUAGCGGAGCACACAACGGACGAGGUGGAGGAAUGCCUAUACGACGAAGAAUAGUACAGGGUCGGCGACCACGAUGGUUAGGUUCACAAGUAGGUAAGACCAGAUAAAGAAACCUAUUAAAUACCUCCAGCACCAAGACCAUAAACAUACAUAAGUGUUUAACAAGUGUUCCGGACCUCCUUUAUUAUCCCUCCUAACCUCUACGUGGCCCGUACGGUACCGUUGCUUUGUUUUCGAAUAAUGAAGUUAAGUUAAUACGUUCAACUUCUUCCAUGUUUGAUAAUUGAGGCUAGAAGAUUACGAAGGAAAGAAAAAAAAUUACACCAAACCGAGCUGUUUGUUAUAAAAGAAACACCGUAUGACGUGAUCGAGAUUAAACUCAUGAAGUUAAGUUGAAUUUCAUUGAAUAAAAGAUUGUGAAUUAUUACUCGAGUGUCUACUAUCUUCGUCUUUUUUUUAUGAACCGGUUUAUAGUAAAUUGGUCUAUAACAUGUAACAUCUUAGUCAUCAGAUAGAGUGAAGUAAGAACAAUCUUGGACGUAUUCUAAAACAUACACUACGAAAACAAAUAAGUUAGUUCACUUUAUUCCCGAUGUUGUUCUCUAGUGGUAAUCCAAUAGUACUUGGUCGUUUUACCCAUAUUCUUCGAUAUAAGUUCUUUUCUAUAAAACGAGUAAGAAAUGGGUCUCGUUUAUAUUUCAGCGUAUGCUUGUAGACUUUGAUUCUUGAGUUGUUUAUCUAGUCAUAUAAGGUACAAUUCAUAUGUUGAGUGUUUAUCUGUAAAGGUCACUCUUUUAUAAUUGAUAAAGAUUUUACAGCACUGUUCAACAAAAAAAACAUCUUAAAAUACGAGAACGACAAUAGAAUCGGAGUGUCCUAACAUAUAAAACUACCUUAUAUCAUUCUAAAAGAAUAUUAGUGCUCAAGAAAAUAUUAACCUACUCUUCUAUUGUAGAUCGCGUAGUUAAUUCUUAAUGGGUAUAAUUAUGGAGCUUGUCCCUACGUACAUAAACUAGAAAGGACGACUCUAAGUCACAAAGGAUAGCCUCCAGACUUAAACGUAUACACCCCGGAGAGUCAAUCUAACAUUCAUAUGAUUAGUAAGACAUUGAUUCCAACACGGUAUAUAGAUCUUGACAUCUUAUAGAAGGUGUAUACAAGUAAGUCCCUGGAAUCUUUAAGUGAUAACUCCCAAGUAACGGUUCUUCCGUUGAGUAGAGAAGCCGUAACUUAAAUAAACCUCACAACGUUAAUAGCGUUACGAGUCACUGUUGAUGGUCCCAGUACUUCUUCAGGAUCGAGUUGUUACCGAGGCACUCGAGAUUGUCCACACCACCCGACGGUUGCUGGAUGUGUAUCAUAACGAAUUUAGCCGACGUUAGUGAUCUAAGAGCAGUGAUUGAGACACUUGACCAUCUUUCACCAGUGCAACCCUUUCCUCAUUUGCCUUACGAUGAUUUUAUCACCCGGAAACCCGUUGUGGAUUUCGUAACGUUAUUCGAAGACUAUUCUUAAAGCAUGUUCUUAUCCACGAACAUUUAUACAACUUAACAAGUACCACCUCAACAACAUGUCAGAGGGUUGUCGUUACUAAAUGUUCCGAGUUCCCUGAUAUAUUUCCGGUUUGUGAACCUUAAGUUUGUUCGAUCCAGGUUUUACCAUUGAAACUCAAUAAUAAAUACAACAAACCGACCGAAUAAACUACGGCUUCAACAUACUCCUAUGCACACAAAAUUUUAAAACGAUAACCUAAAGUGAAAAAAAGAAAUAGAGACAGUUAAGAGGAAAACUCUCGUAUUAAUGAUAUUAAACAGAUACCUGGUUUCCCAAGCUAG